AUUUAAAUAAUUUAAUAAAAAUAUUGAUUUGUGGUAUCAAAAAUAUGAAUAACAUUCAUUUUAAAUU
RNAcentral lists this transfer RNA (67 nucleotides) under Spilarctia alba. RNAcentral's name for it is "tRNA-His". The record is from RNAcentral. Lineage: Eukaryota; Metazoa; Arthropoda; Insecta; Lepidoptera; Erebidae.